UAGGGAAUCUUCCACAAUGGGCGCAAGCCUGAUGGAGCAACACCGCGUGAGUGAAGAAGGGUUUCGGCUCGUAAAGCUCUGUUGUUAAAGAAGAACACGUAUGAGAGUAACUGUUCAUACGUUGGCGGUAUUUAACCAGAAAGUCACGGCUAACUACGUGCCAGCAGCCGCGGUAAUACGUAGGUGGCAAGCGUUAUCCGGAUUUAUUGGGCGUAAAGAGAGUGCAGGCGGUUUUCUAAGUCUGAUGUGAAAGCCUUCGGCUUAACCGGAGAAGUGCAUCGGAAACUGGAUAACUUGAGUGCAGAAGAGGGUAGUGGAACUCCAUGUGUAGCGGUGGAAUGCGUAGAUAUAUGGAAGAACACCAGUGGCGAAGGCGGCUACCUGGUCUGCAACUGACGCUGAGACUCGAAAGCAUGGGUAGCGAACAGGAUUAGAUACCCUGGUAGUCCAUGCCGUAAACGAUGAGUGCUAGGUGUUGGAGGGUUUCCGCCCUUCAGUGCCGCAGCUAACGCAAUAAGCAUUCCGCCUGGGGAGUACGACCGCAAGGUUG
This 550-nucleotide ribosomal RNA is filed under the name uncultured bacterium. RNAcentral describes it as "bacterial SSU rRNA". It matches the Rfam family "Bacterial small subunit ribosomal RNA", at positions 355 to 896 of the family's 1533-position model. The record is from RNAcentral.